CCUGACUAAACAUAGGAGGUCAGGCCUGCCCAGUGACAUUGUUCAACGGCCGCGGUAUCCUAACCGUGCGAAGGUAGCGUAAUCACUUGUUCUUUAAAUGAGGACUAGUAUGAACGGCUUCACGAGAGCUAUGCUGUCUCCUUUAUCCAAUCAGUAAAACUAAUCUCCCCGUGAAGAAGCGGGGAUACAAUUAUAAGACGAGAAGACCCUAUGGAGCUUUAAAUUCUUUUAACAUUUGAACUACGUAUAAAACUUUCAGAAAACUUCAUUAAACCAAUCAUUUUGUUUCAGGUUUUAGGUUGGGGUGACCACGGAGAAAAAAUUAACCUCCACGUGGAAAGAAGCUAUCUUCUAAGCAAAAAGCUACACCUUUAUGCAUCAACACAUUGACCUAAAUUGACCCAAUUGCUUGAUCAACGAAC
RNAcentral lists this ribosomal RNA (422 nucleotides) under Allobates flaviventris group sp. ABGD cluster 13. RNAcentral describes it as "partial large subunit ribosomal RNA". It matches the Rfam family "Bacterial large subunit ribosomal RNA", at positions 1834 to 2389 of the family's 2925-position model. The record is from RNAcentral. Lineage: Eukaryota; Metazoa; Chordata; Amphibia; Anura; Aromobatidae.